This 370-nucleotide long non-coding RNA is filed under the name Nicotiana benthamiana. Its description in RNAcentral is "long non-coding RNA (NBEN_LNC017396)". The record is from RNAcentral. Lineage: Eukaryota; Viridiplantae; Streptophyta; Magnoliopsida; Solanales; Solanaceae.
GUUCACAACAUGCACAGAUCUAAGACAUAUCUGAAAGAAAAUCAGAAAGCCUUUGAAGUUAGGGUUUCAGAGAACCUAGAAAGAUGAGAAAGAAUUCGAAAAGUUAUCGAUCUAGCUGGAAAAGUCAAGCAUCUGACUCGAACAGCCAUGGAUAGGAGUUGAGAAAGGACUGGAUCAGAUAUCUUCGAGAUCUAUCCAUGAAAUCGCACAAGUGGGCCACCAUGGGACAUAGGAGACCAAUACACAUCUCAAACGACCUUGGCAAUCCAUGGAUUUGGUGGGGGUUGAGGGGAACUAGGGUGGAUUUGGGUGGUGGCAACUAGAGUUUGAGUGAAAUUACAGAGAGAAUUGGAGAGGAAGGGGAUUCAAG